UACGGGGGGGCAAGCGUUGUUCGGAAUUACUGGGCGUAAAGGGCUCGUAGGCGGCCAACUAAGUCAGACGUGAAAUCCCUCGGCUUAACCGGGGAACUGCGUCUGAUACUGGGUGGCUUGAAUCCGGGAGAGGGAUGCGGAAUUCCAGGUGUAGCGGUGAAAUGCGUAGAUAUCUGGAGGAACACCGGUGGCGAAGGCGGCAUCCUGGACCGGCAUUGACGCUGAGGCGCGAAAGCCAGGGAGCAAACGGG
This 251-nucleotide ribosomal RNA is filed under the name uncultured bacterium. RNAcentral describes it as "partial 16S ribosomal RNA". It matches the Rfam family "Bacterial small subunit ribosomal RNA", at positions 524 to 776 of the family's 1533-position model. The record is from RNAcentral.